RNAcentral lists this unclassified non-coding RNA (391 nucleotides) under soil metagenome. RNAcentral describes it as "partial contains 5.8S ribosomal RNA, internal transcribed spacer 2, and large subunit ribosomal RNA". The stretch from base 1 to 122 matches the Rfam family "5.8S ribosomal RNA", at positions 35 to 154 of the family's 154-position model. The record is from RNAcentral.
GAUGAAGAACCUAGCGAAAUGCGAUACUUGGUGUGAAUUGCAGAAUCCCGUGAACCAUCGAGUCUUUGAACGCAAGUUGCGCCCGAAGCCAUUAGGCCGAGGGCACGCCUGCCUGGGCGUCACACGUCGUUGCCCCCCCAUCUACUCCUUCGGGAUUGCGGGGGGCGGAUGAUGGCCUCCCGUGCGCCUUGUCGCGCGGUUGGCAUAAAUGCCAAGUCCUCGGCGACGCACGCCACGACAAUCGGUGGUUGCGAAACCUCGGUUGCCCGUCGUGUGCGGUCGUCGCGCAUCGAGGGCUCGAAAAAAUUGUCGGGCUCCGGCUCGGCUUUCAACGCGACCCCAGGUCAGGCGGGGUUACCCGCUGAAUUUAAGCAUAUCAAUAAGCGGAGGA